GGGGAAUAUUGGGCAAUGGGCGCAAGCCUGACCCAGCAACGCCGCGUGAGGGAAGAAGGUUUUCGGAUUGUAAACCUCUGUCCUUGGUGACGAAGGAAGUGACGGUAGCCAAGGAGGAAGCCCCGGCUAACUACGUGCCAGCAGCCGCGGUAAUACGUAGGGGGCGAGCGUUGUCCGGAAUUACUGGGCGUAAAGGGUGAGUAGGCGGUUUUUUAAGUUGGAUGUGAAAUACCCGGGCUUAACUUGGGGGGUGCAUUCAAAACUGGGGAACUAGAGUACAGGAGAGGAAAGCGGAAUUCCUAGUGUAGCGGUGAAAUGCGUAGAUAUUAGGAGGAACACCGGUGGCGAAGGCGGCUUUCUGGACUGAAACUGACGCUGAGGCACGAAAGCGUGGGGAGCAAAC
RNAcentral lists this ribosomal RNA (403 nucleotides) under uncultured bacterium. RNAcentral describes it as "bacterial SSU rRNA". It matches the Rfam family "Bacterial small subunit ribosomal RNA", at positions 356 to 773 of the family's 1533-position model. The record is from RNAcentral.